UAUACUAUUAAGGCAGCUGAACAGUUUCCCAAGUUGUGAAUCAUUAACCUACUUUUUGUCUUCUAGAAAGAAACAGAAGUGUUGCUCUUGUAAGAGCAAAAAUGUUUUUAGUAAGUCUUUCCUGUGGGAAAAAUACUCUCUACAUCCCUAAAUCCAGGAUCCAUAGAAGCAGAAAAAUGAAUUGCAGGACUUACUUAAUUUUAAGGCCUUACAGCUGUCUUUAGCAAAGCAAACUUUCAGCUACUAAAAGUUUGAUGGCACCAUUGUCUUUUGAUGACAGCUAACACAAAGGAGAUGGGCUCUUUGAUUUAUGUAAUAGAUAAAUGCCACCAUAGCGUAAUAAUUACAGUGAUGUAUUAAUAAACUGUUCUUUUUAAAAUUAAUGGAGUUAUCCUUUGAAAACACACACAGAUGACUGUGUCUUAAAAAUACAAAAUCAGAAACAUGGCAAAAAUAACUGUACUCUGUAGUAAGGAGUGAUUGAUUUUCACUUUUUCACAGAUUUUCUCUAUACUUGUCACAGCCUGUACCAGAAGGCUUCUGAAAGAGUGUCUUUUGAAUGAAUAGCAGAAAACACGCUGAGGAUUCAUGAGAUUAUGAGAUGAAGACCCCAGAGAGAUACAUAACAGUAUCAUAUUGAAGAUCAUGAAGUCAGGAGCAGAACUGAGGUGAAACUCUAGAUCUCUUAAAUCCAUCCCAGCAGAAAACAAAAAGGUGAGGCCUCCUCUUCCUUUGAUGGAUAGAGCACGUGUGAGGAAGAGGGAUCUGAGCGUGUUCCAUAUUCCUGUGCUAUUGUGAACAAAACUGUAAUGAUGAUGUGAUGAUGGCCUCUCUGACUAUGGAGCUAUUAGCAGAAAACAAGCCUUUAGAGAUAGCCUCUGGAUUCAUGUGGUUUGUAAUACUGAUAGCUGUCAGGUAAAUUCACUGUACUUUUCUAGGCUUUCAAAUAAUAAAACAUUUUUUUUACACAGAAAGUGCCCAAACUAAGAUUUUAUUUCAGGCUUUUCUGUUUAACUUUUCCUGUUUUUUGUUUGUUUGAUUGUUUGUUUUUCUUUAAUGUUGCAAUUGAAAAGAAUUUAUCCACUUGCUUAAAUAAAAGUGAUUUCCACACUACAUACCAUGCAUGUAUGUGCAGAAGCCCCACUACCCUCAGCAGGGCACUAGUGCAUGUAUAAGCUGAGCAGUGCCUUGUGCAAGGGUUUGGAAAGGUCACCACUUUUUGUGUUUUGACAUUCAUUGUAACAAACAAGGCAAGAGAGUAAACAGGAGAAGUUGGAAUGUAAAAAGGCAAACAAGAUGAAAAGGGAAAUUCAGAGAAAAAGCCCUCCAUGCAAGAUUUGUGGGAAAUGCCAAUGUUGUUUGUGUGGUAAAAUAAAGCAUUACCUCAGCUGAGAUCUACUGCAGAUUCAUGACAAUGAAAAACUUACCUCCUUGGAAAGUUCUGUCUGCAACCUGUAGCCCCUUUAGUUCCACAAGAAGUAUUUUAUAUAGGAUAUAUAGGAUGCUGUCAUUAUUGACUCCCUUUUCUCCGUAGGUACAAUGGGGAGAAUAGUUAUUCCUUAGGAGAGAAGGGCAGAAAUUACUUUUCAGCUUUCUGAGCAGAAGGCUGUGGGGCAGGCUGUAGCAAAUGAAAAGCAGUUGUAAAACACAGGGAUGCAGAGGAGUCAUAAAAGGAAGCAGGAAUACACAGCUGGUGAUCAAACUGAUUACCUUGGCAGGAGUCUGGGGACAAACUAUAUUCUCAGAAAAAUUCAAUAUAAAUUAAAUUAAGUGAAAAACUCCUUUUAGUUUCCUACAGGGUAGAAUUAGGAAAAUUUUAGGGUAACUGCUGCAACCCUGAUGCAGCAUGAAGCUCCUGCUUUUAGGAGCUGAGCUGCUCAGAGAUGAAUCUCUCAGGAAUCACAUGGCUUCAGCAGCAUUAUGCCUGACCUGCAGGGCUGGCAUCCAUGCUAUUUGUUGGACUUCCCUCUGUAAUGACUUGUUCUGUCCCUAAGAUGGAAAGUUCAGUCAGAUGUAGGCAGAUAUAUUUGUUUGUGUACAUUUGGUGCAGAAGCUGGCUCCUCAGAAGGGAACAGCAACAGAUUGAGUGUAACUGUUGGGGAAAUCGCUGGGGACUUGUGAUGUGCACAGGAUGUGAUAUAUUUCUGGAUGUGGGCUGUAGAGGCUUGCUGUGAGCCCGUGGAAGGCUCUGGAGAUCAAAAGCACUGAGAAGCAGGUCACCAGAGAGGCAGAAAGUGCUGUCAGUGCCAGAAGACCAGAAACAAGUGCCUAAUGGGACAGAGGCUGCAGCAGCAUCCUGGUGCUGAGUGGCAGCUCAAUUCGAGCUUUAGAAAAACAAAGACUAACAAUAACCAAACCCCAGCGCUGCUGAAUGGACUAGUUAAAAGAACUCCAGGGAGUUAGCAUCCUGUUAGAGUUAGUGCUCAGUUUAUGGUGUGCCUCUAGUGUUUAUGAAAACGUAUGCGGAUGGAGUUAGCUCUUCGGAACGCUGUUGGCAAUUUAUUCUUUGCUCAGAUUUUUAUAAACGUUUAUAUUAUCAGUUCUUUUAUAUUUUAUACCUCACAAUGACUUUUGGCUUUGCCAAAUGUAUCUCAGAGGAACUUUAUUAUUUCUGUAUUGUUUGUGGUAUGAGCAUGAACUUUGACUUCCUGCCUUCCAAUUUAGUUUGGUGUCUAGCUCUUUGCUGUCUGGGUCACUCGUGUUACAGCUGGAGCUUCCUGUUUUCAAACCCAUAGCAGCCAACCAUGUAAACCUGAGGGUCAGCGCGUUCAGAAAUGAUGCAUGAUUCCAGUCACUUGUUUGCUGAAAUAAAUUACAUUUACGUAA
Molecule: non-coding RNA, 2826 nt
Organism: Meleagris gallopavo (turkey)
Lineage: Eukaryota; Metazoa; Chordata; Aves; Galliformes; Phasianidae
Source: RefSeq, a predicted model, not a curated record